This 253-nucleotide ribosomal RNA is filed under the name uncultured bacterium. RNAcentral's name for it is "partial 16S ribosomal RNA". It matches the Rfam family "Bacterial small subunit ribosomal RNA", at positions 524 to 776 of the family's 1533-position model. The record is from RNAcentral.
UACGUAGGGGGCAAGCGUUGUCCGGAAUCAUUGGGCGUAAAGCGCGUGUAGGCGGGUCUUUAAGUCAGGGGUGAAAUGCCAAGGCUCAACCUUGGAACUGCCUUUGAUACUGGAGAUCUUGAGUCCGGGAGAGGUGAGUGGAACUGCGAGUGUAGAGGUGAAAUUCGUAGAUAUUCGCAAGAACACCAGUGGCGAAGGCGGCUCACUGGCCCGGAACUGACGCUGAGACGCGAAAGCGUGGGGAGCAAACAGG